This 433-nucleotide ribosomal RNA is filed under the name uncultured bacterium. RNAcentral describes it as "partial 16S ribosomal RNA". It matches the Rfam family "Bacterial small subunit ribosomal RNA", at positions 29 to 507 of the family's 1533-position model. The record is from RNAcentral.
AACGAACGCUGGCGGCAUGCCUAACACAUGCAAGUCGAACGAGACCUUCGGGUCUAGUGGCGCACGGGUGCGUAACGCGUGGGAACCUGCCCUUAGGUUCGGAAUAACUCCCCGAAAGGGGUGCUAAUACCGGAUAAUGUCUUCGGACCAAAGAUUUAUCGCCUUUGGAUGGGCCCGCGUUGGAUUAGCUAGUUGGUAGGGUAAAAGCCUACCAAGGCGACGAUCCAUAGCUGGUCUGAGAGGAUGAUCAGCCACACUGGGACUGAGACACGGCCCAGACUCCUACGGGAGGCAGCAGUGGGGAAUAUUGGACAAUGGGCGAAAGCCUGAUCCGGCAAUGCCGCGUGAGUGAUGAAGGCCUUAGGGUUGUAAAGCUCUGUUAACCGGGAUGAUAAUGACAGUACCGGGAGAAUAAGCGCCGGCUAACUCCGUG